GUCUUUUUGAAAUAAUUUAAAGUCUAAUCUGCCCACUGAUAAAAAAUUAAAGGGCUGCAGUAUAAUGACUGUACAAAGGUAGCAUAAUCAAUAGUUUUUUAAUUGAAAACUUGUAUGAAAGAUUUGAUGAAAUAUGGACUGUCUCUAAUUUAUAGAUUGAAUUUUAUUUUUUAGUAAAAAAGCUAAAAUAAAUUUAAAAGACGAGAAGACCCUAUAGAGUUUUAUAUUUAAUUUUAUUUUUAAAUUAUAUAAAAAUUAAUAUUAAAAAUAAAAUUAAAUAUUAUAUUGGGGUGAUAGAAAAAUUAAAUUAACUUUUUUUAAAAAUUAAACAUAAAUAAAUGAUUAUAUGAUCCAUAAAUAAUGAUUAUAAGAAAAAAUUACCUUAGGGAUAACAGCGUAAUAUUUUUUUUUAGUUCAAAUAAAAAAAAAAGUUUGCGACCUCGAUGUUGGAUUAAGAUAAAAUUUAAAUGCAAAAGUUUAAAAAUUUUGAUCUGUUCGAUCAUUAAAAUCUUACA
This 515-nucleotide ribosomal RNA is filed under the name Melanargia larissa. RNAcentral describes it as "partial 16S ribosomal RNA". The record is from RNAcentral. Lineage: Eukaryota; Metazoa; Arthropoda; Insecta; Lepidoptera; Nymphalidae.